UACGUAGGGAGCAAGCGUUGUCCGGAAUCAUUGGGCGUAAAGCGCGCGUAGGCGGCCCUGUAAGUCCGUUGUGAAAGUCAAAGGCUCAACCUUUGAAAGCCGAUGGAUACUGCAGGGCUAGAGUCCGGAAGAGGCGAGUGGAAUUCCUGGUGUAGCGGUGGAAUGCGCAGAUAUCAGGAGGAACACCGGUGGCGAAGGCGGCUCUCUGGGUCGGCCCUGACGCUGAGGCGCGAAAGCGUGGGGAGCGAACGGG
RNAcentral lists this ribosomal RNA (253 nucleotides) under uncultured bacterium. RNAcentral describes it as "partial 16S ribosomal RNA". It matches the Rfam family "Bacterial small subunit ribosomal RNA", at positions 524 to 776 of the family's 1533-position model. The record is from RNAcentral.